RNA transcript from Melospiza melodia melodia, 2477 nucleotides. It is a transcript of the gene named iron-sulfur cluster assembly factor IBA57, with no coding region annotated. Lineage: Eukaryota; Metazoa; Chordata; Aves; Passeriformes; Passerellidae. The transcript is spliced from 4 exons. The record is from RefSeq and is a predicted model, not a curated record.
GGGGGACUCUGUGAAGGCGCCGCCAUGUUGGUGAGGGCAAUAACGGCGCCCGGGCUGCGCCGGUGGUGCCAGAGCCAGCGGGGCGCGGCCGCCGCCUGUUUCCCGCUGGGCCGAGCGCUGCUGGGCGUGAGGGGCGCCGAGGCCGCCGCCUUCCUGCAGGGGCUGCUCACCAAUGACGUCACGCAGCUGGUGGCGGAGGGCGACGCCCCCCCCGCGCUCUACGCGCACGCGCUGAACGUGCAGGGCCGCUGCCUCUAUGACGUCAUCCUGUACAGGCUCCACGGGAGCACAGCAGAGGAGCCUCACAUCCUGCUGGAGUGCGACAGCAGCGUCCUGGACUCCAUCCAGCAGCACCUGAAACUCUACAAGAUCCGCAGGAAAGUCACCAUCAGCCCCUGCCCCGACCUGUCCCUGUGGGCUGUCCUCCCUGGGGACACCAGCUCCCUCCCCAAAUGUGCAGACCAGGCUCUGCUCCUCACCCCUGACCCCAGGGCAGAAGUCAUGGGCUGGAGACUGAUUGCAAAGAAAGGAGCAAAUCUGGCAGAGAUUAUCCCUGGCAGCCAGCUUGGAGAUGUGCAGGAUUACCACAGGCACAGGUAUAAACAAGGAAUCCCUGAGGGGGUGAAGGAUCUCCCCCCUGGCGUCGCGCUGCCUCUGGAAUCCAACCUGGCCUUCAUGAACGGCAUCAGCUUCACCAAGGGCUGCUACAUCGGCCAGGAGCUGACGGCGCGCACCCACCACAUGGGGGUGAUCCGCAAGCGCCUGCUGCCCGUCACCUUCCCGGGGCCGCUUCCCGCCGCGGGCGUCCCCGAGGGCGCCGACAUCCUCACGCAGGCAGGGAAACGCGCGGGCAAGUUCCGUGCCGGAGGGGGGGAGCUGGGCAUCGCCCUGCUCAGGCUGGCUCACCUCCACGAGCCGCUCCGCAUCCCCCUGGACGGCGACAGCGUGGAGCUCAGGGCCGCCACGCCCGAGUGGUGGCCGAAAGGGGCCGCGAAGUAGGUGAGGGAGCGGCUCUGGGAGAGGUUUGGGGUGGUUGGGGUGAGGGAAUUUGGGAAUGCUGCUGUUCUGUGGGGAGGGUCUCGCAGGAUUCCUCACAGCGAGAACCCAAAGCUGUGGCAGAUCGCUGUGGGUUGGAUCUGCCAUGGAAGGACAAAUCCAGGGAAUUGCAGCUUUUCCUGAGGGUAAUCCCCACUUUUUUAGGGUGCCAUGACUUGUUGGGACCCUGUAUUUAGGGGGUGCCCUGUGUUGUUGGGUUGGACCCUCUUUAGGGGGUGCCCUGUGUUGUUGGGUUGGACUCUGGAUGGAUCUCCAGGCUGACACUCACUCCCUCAGACUCUGCUCUCCCAAACAACGGGAUCAGGACCUUCCCUGUUCCAUGCACUGAUUUCUCAGUUCAGAAUAACCAUUCUGAGGUAUUACAAUCUUAUUGGUACCCAAAACCAUUCUGAGAUAUUACAAUUUUAUUGGUUCCCAAAACCAUUCUGAGAUAUUACAAUUUUAUUGGUUCCCAAAACCAUUCUGAGAUAUUACAAUUUUAUUGGUUCCCAAAACCAUUCUGAGAUAUUACAAUUUUAUUGGUUCACAAUAAUCAUUCUGAGAUAUUAUAAUUUUAUUGGUUCACAAUAACCAUUCUGAGGGAUUAUAAUUCUGUUGUUUUUUUUGUGAGUGGAGAUCAUGCUGCUCUUAUUAAGAUGUAUUCUCAGGCUGAAGUUUUUUGCUGCAAAUUGUUCCUUGCAUUGAGCUUCUUCAACUUGCUGAUGGGGCUGGUGUUUCUUCCCACCACUGGAACUGUGUUCAGGAAGAGGAACAUCUUGUGCUUCACAUGUCAGACCUUGAUUUUAACUCAUCCCAGCUGGGGAAAAAAGGUCUCAAACCUCCUGUCCUGUCUCCUGUUUUGUGGAGGGAGCAGAGCCAGUUCCUGACUCCCUUCUCUCAAACCAUUUUUUGGGAGAGGAAGGGGAUAUUUUCAAUGCCACAGGCGCUGGCUUGGCCUGGCCUUGCUGAGGGAGGAUUUUCACCAUGUUCUGGCUCUUUCUGUGCCCCUCACCCUGUCCCUGCUGCUGGGGUUUUCUCCAUCCACCACCCCCAGGGUUUUCAGAGCAGCCCAAUGCUUUGCUUUAAUUUUUCUGCCUGCCAACACUCCUCUGCUUCUCCAAUUUUUCUUCUUGCUGCAACAUAUUUCUCUUAUUAUAAUAUUCCUCUCUUGUUCCAAAGCAAACCAGCUCUGUGCCUCCUGACCCUGUAAACCUGCAGUGAUUUAUAGGAACCCUUUUUAUCAAUCCAUUACACAAUGAGAGAGCUGCCCAGGUGAGAUCCCAUUUUCUCCAAAACAAAACCAAAAAAGCCUUUGCAUGAAUAUUUGUAACAAAACCCGUCCCAAAUCACAUUCUGCCUUUGUUUCAGUGUUACUGUGAAUGGAAUUUGUCUGUAAAGAAAAUGCUUAUAUUGAUUAAAAUUCUAUGGUUGUUGUAAAAUGA